RNAcentral lists this ribosomal RNA (253 nucleotides) under uncultured bacterium. Its description in RNAcentral is "partial 16S ribosomal RNA". It matches the Rfam family "Bacterial small subunit ribosomal RNA", at positions 524 to 776 of the family's 1533-position model. The record is from RNAcentral.
UACGUAGGGUGCGAGCGUUAAUCGGAAUUACUGGGCGUAAAGCGUGCGCAGGCGGUUAUAUAAGACAAGGGUGAAAUCCCCGGGCUUAACCUGGGAAUUGCAUUUGUGACUGUAUAGCUGGAGUGCGGCAGAGGGGGAUGGAAUUCCGCGUGUAGCAGUGAAAUGCGUAGAUAUGCGGAGGAACACCGAUGGCGAAGGCAAUCCCCUGGGCCUGCACUGACGCUCAUGCACGAAAGCGUGGGGAGCAAACAGG